CCUACGGGAGGCAGCAGUGGGGAAUAUUGCACAAUGGGGGGAACCCUGAUGCAGCGACGCAGCGUGAGUGAAGAAGUAUUUCGGUAUGUAAAGCUCUAUCAGCAGGGAAGAAAAUGACGGUACCUGACUAAGAAGCCCCGGCUAACUACGUGCCAGCAGCCGAGGUAAUACGUAGGGGGCAAGCGUUAUCCGGAUUUACUGGGUGUAAAGGGAGCGUAGACGGCAGAGCAAGUCUGAAGUGAAAGCCCGGGGCCCAACUGCGGGACUGCUUUGGAAACUGCCCGGCUAGAGUGCUGGAGAGGUAAGCGGAAUUCCUAGUGUAGCGGUGAAAUGCGUAGAUAUUAGGAGGAACACCAGUGGCGAAGGCGGCUUACUGGACAGUAACUGACGUUGAGGCUCGAAAGCGUGGGGAGCAAACAGGAUUAGAUACCCCUGUAGUC
This 440-nucleotide ribosomal RNA is filed under the name uncultured bacterium. RNAcentral describes it as "partial 16S ribosomal RNA". It matches the Rfam family "Bacterial small subunit ribosomal RNA", at positions 338 to 795 of the family's 1533-position model. The record is from RNAcentral.